Molecule: ribosomal RNA, 1522 nt
Filed under: Salmonella enterica subsp. enterica serovar Ibadan
Lineage: Bacteria; Pseudomonadati; Pseudomonadota; Gammaproteobacteria; Enterobacterales; Enterobacteriaceae
Description: bacterial SSU rRNA
Rfam family: Bacterial small subunit ribosomal RNA
Source: RNAcentral
AGAGUUUGAUCAUGGCUCAGAUUGAACGCUGGCGGCAGGCCUAACACAUGCAAGUCGAACGGUAACAGGAAGCAGCUUGCUGCUUCGCUGACGAGUGGCGGACGGGUGAGUAAUGUCUGGGAAACUGCCUGAUGGAGGGGGAUAACUACUGGAAACGGUGGCUAAUACCGCAUAACGUCGCAAGACCAAAGAGGGGGACCUUCGGGCCUCUUGCCAUCAGAUGUGCCCAGAUGGGAUUAGCUUGUUGGUGAGGUAACGGCUCACCAAGGCGACGAUCCCUAGCUGGUCUGAGAGGAUGACCAGCCACACUGGAACUGAGACACGGUCCAGACUCCUACGGGAGGCAGCAGUGGGGAAUAUUGCACAAUGGGCGCAAGCCUGAUGCAGCCAUGCCGCGUGUAUGAAGAAGGCCUUCGGGUUGUAAAGUACUUUCAGCGGGGAGGAAGGUGUUGUGGUUAAUAACCGCAGCAAUUGACGUUACCCGCAGAAGAAGCACCGGCUAACUCCGUGCCAGCAGCCGCGGUAAUACGGAGGGUGCAAGCGUUAAUCGGAAUUACUGGGCGUAAAGCGCACGCAGGCGGUCUGUCAAGUCGGAUGUGAAAUCCCCGGGCUCAACCUGGGAACUGCAUUCGAAACUGGCAGGCUUGAGUCUUGUAGAGGGGGGUAGAAUUCCAGGUGUAGCGGUGAAAUGCGUAGAGAUCUGGAGGAAUACCGGUGGCGAAGGCGGCCCCCUGGACAAAGACUGACGCUCAGGUGCGAAAGCGUGGGGAGCAAACAGGAUUAGAUACCCUGGUAGUCCACGCCGUAAACGAUGUCUACUUGGAGGUUGUGCCCUUGAGGCGUGGCUUCCGGAGCUAACGCGUUAAGUAGACCGCCUGGGGAGUACGGCCGCAAGGUUAAAACUCAAAUGAAUUGACGGGGGCCCGCACAAGCGGUGGAGCAUGUGGUUUAAUUCGAUGCAACGCGAAGAACCUUACCUGGUCUUGACAUCCACGGAAGUUUUCAGAGAUGAGAAUGUGCCUUCGGGAACUGUGAGACAGGUGCUGCAUGGCUGUCGUCAGCUCGUGUUGUGAAAUGUUGGGUUAAGUCCCGCAACGAGCGCAACCCUUAUCCUUUGUUGCCAGCGGUUAGGCCGGGAACUCAAAGGAGACUGCCAGUGAUAAACUGGAGGAAGGUGGGGAUGACGUCAAGUCAUCAUGGCCCUUACGACCAGGGCUACACACGUGCUACAAUGGCGCAUACAAAGAGAAGCGACCUCGCGAGAGCAAGCGGACCUCAUAAAGUGCGUCGUAGUCCGGAUUGGAGUCUGCAACUCGACUCCAUGAAGUCGGAAUCGCUAGUAAUCGUGGAUCAGAAUGCCACGGUGAAUACGUUCCCGGGCCUUGUACACACCGCCCGUCACACCAUGGGAGUGGGUUGCAAAAGAAGUAGGUAGCUUAACCUUCGGGAGGGCGCUUACCACUUUGUGAUUCAUGACUGGGGUGAAGUCGUAACAAGGUAACCGUAGGGGAACCUGCGGUUG